CCCCUGUGAACAUACCACUUGUUGCCUCGGCGGAUCAGCCCGCUCCCGGUAAAACGGGACGGCCCGCCAGAGGACCCCUAAACUCUGUUUCUAUAUGUAACUUCUGAGUAAAACCAUAAAUAAAUCAAAACUUUCAACAACGGAUCUCUUGGUUCUGGCAUCGAUGAAGAACGCAGCAAAAUGCGAUAAGUAAUGUGAAUUGCAGAAUUCAGUGAAUCAUCGAAUCUUUGAACGCACAUUGCGCCCGCCAGUAUUCUGGCGGGCAUGCCUGUUCGAGCGUCAUUUCAACCCUCAAGCACAGCUUGGUGUUGGGACUCGCGUUAAUUCGCGUUCCUCAAAUUGAUUGGCGGUCACGUCGAGCUUCCAUAGCGUAGUAGUAAAACCCUCGUUACUGGUAAUCGUCGCGGCCACGCCGUUAAACCCCAACUUCUGAAUGUUGACCUCGGAUCAGGUAGGAAUACCCGCUGAACUUAAGCAUAUCAUAAGCGGG
This 490-nucleotide ribosomal RNA is filed under the name Fusarium oxysporum f. sp. ciceris. RNAcentral describes it as "eukaryotic LSU rRNA". The stretch from base 129 to 282 matches the Rfam family "5.8S ribosomal RNA". The record is from RNAcentral. Lineage: Eukaryota; Fungi; Ascomycota; Sordariomycetes; Hypocreales; Nectriaceae.